This 510-nucleotide ribosomal RNA is filed under the name uncultured bacterium. RNAcentral describes it as "partial 16S ribosomal RNA". It matches the Rfam family "Bacterial small subunit ribosomal RNA", at positions 28 to 507 of the family's 1533-position model. The record is from RNAcentral.
GACGAACGCUGGCGGCGUGCUUAACACAUGCAAGUCGAACGAAGAGCGAUGGAAGCUUGCUUCUAUCAAUCUUAGUGGCGAACGGGUGAGUAACGCGUAAUCAACCUGCCCUUCAGAGGGGGACAACAGUUGGAAACGACUGCUAAUACCGCAUACGAUCUAAUCUCGGCAUCGAGGAUAGAUGAAAGGUGGCCUCUACAUGUAAGCUAGCACUGAAGGAGGGGAUUGCGUCUGAUUAGCAAGUUGGAGGGGUAACGGCGCACCAAGGCGAUGAUCAGUAGCCGGUCUGAGAGGAUGAACGGCCACAUUGGGACUGAGACACGGCCCAGACGCCUACGGGAGGCAGCAGUGGGGAAUCUUCCGCAAGGGACGAAAGUCUGACGGAGCAACGCCGCGUGAGUGAUGACGGCCUUCGGGUUGUAAAGCUCUGUUAAUCGGGACGAAAGGCCUUCUUGCGAAUAGUGAGAAGGAUUGACGGUACCGGAAUAGAAAGCCACGGCUAACUACGUG